This 495-nucleotide ribosomal RNA is filed under the name uncultured bacterium. RNAcentral describes it as "bacterial SSU rRNA". It matches the Rfam family "Bacterial small subunit ribosomal RNA", at positions 24 to 518 of the family's 1533-position model. The record is from RNAcentral.
UCAGGAUGAACGCUGGCGGCGUGCCUAAUACAUGCAAGUCGAGCGAGAAUCUUCAGACGAUCUCGGAUGAGUCAGGAAGAUGGAAAGCGGCGGACGGGUGAGUAACGCGUAGGCAACCUGCCCUCAGCAGAGGGAUAGCCAUUGGAAACGAUGAUUAAAACCUCAUAAUGCUGGACCAACACAUGUUGGAUCAGCCAAAGAUUUAUCGGCUGAGGAUGGGCCUGCGUCUGAUUAACUGGUUGGUGAGGUAACGGCUCACCAAGGUAACGAUCAGUAGCCGACCUGAGAGGGUGAUCGGCCACAUUGGAACUGAGACACGGUCCAAACUUCUACGGAAGGCAGCAGUAAGGAAUCUUGCACAAUGGGGGAAACCCUGAUGCCAGCAACGCCGCGUGAACGAUGAAGGCCUUAGGGUUGUAAAGUUCUGAUCUGUGGGAAGAAGAAAGUGACGGUACCACAGGAGAAAGCCCCGGCUAAAUACGUGCCAGCAGCUGC